Aricia agestis (brown argus) is the source of this 395-nucleotide long non-coding RNA. RefSeq lists it as uncharacterized. The record is from RefSeq and is a predicted model, not a curated record. NCBI's taxonomy places the organism in Eukaryota, Metazoa, Arthropoda, Insecta, Lepidoptera, Lycaenidae. The transcript has 2 exons.
CUCCGUGAAGUCUUAACGUUCUAUCACCGCAUUUAAAUGUUAUCAGUUAAAUCAGUAUUUGAUUUUUAAUAAAUAAGUCCUAGUAACAUUAAUUAUAGACUUCGGAAUUAUUAUUUUGAUAAUAUAAGUGUCGUCUUGCACCCCGAUAGGGGUCCGACCUUUGGAUUCGAGGCUGAAGAGGUAUCUCCUAGUCCCUUGAACCUGUUCUGGAAGAGGCUUCCGUCCGAUCACUCCCCAGGGCCAUUCCAGCUUCCUCGCAGGCUGGACCUCCAUAUGGUUUCUGCUAUCGCCGUCGCCCUUGUUCCCCGCCAAACCAGGAGAGUAAAAGUACUUCCAAAACCAGAUCAGGCCCUUAGUACCCCGACCCCUUAUUAUAAAUAAAUUGUAAUAUAUUC